This is a long non-coding RNA of Sapajus apella (tufted capuchin), 1658 nucleotides long. RefSeq lists it as uncharacterized. The transcript has 2 exons. The record is from RefSeq and is a predicted model, not a curated record. NCBI's taxonomy places the organism in Eukaryota, Metazoa, Chordata, Mammalia, Primates, Cebidae.
GCAGAGUAGGCACCGUCGCGCAAAGCCGCGGCUGGGCUGGAACGGCGCGGAUGGCUUUUAGCCGAUACAUGGGGGCGAGGGGCUGUUCUCGCGGGGCCGUUCCCGCAGGUCCCCGUCGCAGCCCGACGGGCUGGCCGGUUGCUACCUCCGGGGGACGCGGGCACAGUGAGGAGCCUACGAGCAGGUCUUGCAUUGGAAAAGGAAAAUAAUACACAAAUUUCAGCAACAUCAGAGAUUUCAUUAAGCCUGAAUGGAGCUCAAAUUCAUUUUGCAGUUCAACGAUACAUUCACAGAAUCAGGUACUGUAAUCGUAUAGACAACGUCUGUAAUAUCACCACAGUGCAAAAUCAUCCCCGUUUCUUGUCAUUCACCACUGAGAAAAAUCCAACUGCAGACUUGACUGCCUUCGGUGAAGGCACACGGCAAGUUCUGACAACACUCUUCAGGACUGACUCUUCCUGUUUUAUGCAGCAACCGUCUCAGCCUGGGACCAAAGUAUUUACAAAGCAAGCGAAUAACAGACGCAGGGACAGGAGCACUUCUGAGCCCAGUGGUGCAGAAACCCACUGCCCAACAGGGUCGGGGGGCCAGUCACCUCUCCAGGAGUGUCCCAUGUGGCAGCUGACACAACAUCUUAAAUACAUAAUUCCAAUUGAAAGAAAAACCAACAACAACAAAAAAACAGGAGUCAUGUAUAAGCGACGUUACUUCCUCUUUGAACAGGGAAACAUCUCGCUCACAGGGAGAUAAAGGGUGAAUGAACGUCUCAUUUGCUGCUCUCUCCCCCCAAGUGCCAGCAAAAAGCUGGGUGUGGUGAUGAAGGAAAAAGGCAGCCAUCACCUAGGACCCCAUAAGCCAAGCUGUGGUCCCCUCCAUGAGGGCACAGUCCUUUCAUGAAGCCAUGAAAGACUGAGACCACAGCUCGGACCUGAUCACUCAGGGUUGCCUACUGGGGUCUCUUCUGCUGAAACCCAAACUGAUUCUUUUUUUUUUUUUUUUUUUGAGACAGAAUUAGCCGGGCGGGGUGGUACUUGGCUGUCGCCAAGGCUGGAGAGCAGUGCCGUAAUCUUGGUACACUGAAACCUCCACCUCCUGGGCUCAAGUGAUUCUCCCGCCUCAGCCUCCCAAGUAGGUGGGAUUACAGGCAUGUGCCACCAUACCUGGCUAAUUUUUGCAUCUUUUUAGUAGAGAUAGGACUUCACCACAUUGGCCAGGUUGGUCUCAAACUCUAGUGAUGGCCCAUCUCAGCCUCCCACAGUGCUGAGAUGAUAGACGUGAGCCACCGCACCUGGCCCCAGACUGACUCUUGACCAAAGAAUCUGAUUUGGCAAACCAAAUCUUAGUGUGGUGUUCGCUCCUUCUCCCCUGACCAGAACAUGAUUCAGAUCCUAACAUAAAAACAGGUCAAAAUGCUGUGGUCUUGCCUAUUACGCAAAAUAUUGAGAUCAUGUUCAUGAUUUACUGUUUUCAGCAAUCGUGUCCAUUUUGAAGCUUCUCUCAAAGCUUUUAAACACUUCAUUAUUUCCUACUAAGUACCAACAUGUGUCACCCAGGCAUCACCAGUGGGAACUUUUGUUUUGAAACCUUUAGAACCAAAACGGUUUUCAAUCCAUAAGCCAGUCCUAACGCAUCCCGUAAUGGGGACCAAGGCAAAAAAA